GGGAGGCAGCAGUGGGGAAUUUUGGACAAUGGGCGAAAGCCUGAUCCAGCCAUUCCGCGUGAGUGAAGAAGGCCUUCGGGUUGUAAAGCUCUUUCGGCCGGGAAGAAAUCGGUUUUGGCUAAUACCCUGUGACUGGAUGACGGUACCUGCAUAAGAAGCACCGGCUAACUACGUGCCAGCAGCCGCGGUAAUACGUAGGGUGCGAGCGUUAAUCGGAAUUACUGGGCGUAAAGCGUGCGCAGGCGGUUUUUUAAGUCAGGUGUGAAAUCCCCGGGCUUAACCUGGGAACUGCGCUUGUGAAACUGGAAGGCUAGAGUGUACGGCAGAGGGGGGUGGAAUUCCACGUGUAGCAGUGAAAUGCGUAGAGAUGUGGAGGAAUACCGAUGGCGAAGGCAGCCCCCUGGGUUGAUACUGACGCUCAUGUACGAAAGCGUGGGGAGCAAACAGGAUUAGAUACCCUGGUAGUCCACGCCCUAAACGAUGUCAACUAGUUGUUGGGUGAGGUAAGACUUUCUUGGUACCGGAGCUAACGCGUGAAGUUGACCGCCUGGGGAGUACGGUCGCAAGGUUAAAACUCAAAGGAAUUGACGG
RNAcentral lists this ribosomal RNA (591 nucleotides) under uncultured bacterium. Its description in RNAcentral is "bacterial SSU rRNA". It matches the Rfam family "Bacterial small subunit ribosomal RNA", at positions 343 to 916 of the family's 1533-position model. The record is from RNAcentral.